This 1440-nucleotide long non-coding RNA is filed under the name Brachypodium distachyon (stiff brome). RNAcentral's name for it is "long non-coding RNA (BDIS_LNC003275)". Lineage: Eukaryota; Viridiplantae; Streptophyta; Magnoliopsida; Poales; Poaceae. The record is from RNAcentral.
GGGCGGGACUUGACCGGUGCGGCCCAUUUGGCCAGGCCGGUCAUGGUUUUCUUCCUUUUUUUUCUUUUAGCCUUUUCUUUUUCCCUUUUUCUCAUUUCUUUGGUAUCUUUUGAUUUUGAACUCCAAAUUGGUCCAAAUAAAUUCUAGAAAAUUUGUAAAAUCAUGUUUUAUCAUGAUUCAACUUUUCGGAGUUAUUUCCCUUCAAAAUAAAAUAUCUAAAAAUACAUUUGCCCUAUAAAUGCCUUUAGGGCUAUAUCUAUUUAAAUAAAAUAGUUUUUCAACUCCAAAUAAUUAUCCAAAAAUUAUGGGAUAGCUCAUUUAUACAAUAAACCCCUUUUGUAAAUAAAUCUUAUUGGUUUAAAGAUCCAAAGAUCAAAUGGGUGAUAACCCUACGGUUUAUAUUUAAUUAAAAACUUUUAAAGCCUUUUGAGAUUCAAAUUUUAAUUAAGAUAUGCAAUUGUGGCAUGAUGCUCAUGGAUUUAAUGCAUAUGUAAAAGUUUGAAAAUUUUGGGAUGUUACAUUCCGUUCAAGAUGAACACGUAUCUAGAUUGAGACCGAUAAUCGUCCAUGUCAGUUUGGAAAGUAGCAUCGGUGUAACCCUUUACAACGAGCUCAUCUUCACCACCAUAAACCAGAAACAUGUCCUUUGUCCUUCUCGUGUACUUAAGGAUAUUUGUAACAUCCCAAAUUUUCAAACCUUUACAUGAGCAUUGCACUCAUAAGCAUCAUGCCACAAUUGCAUAUUUGAAUUCAAAUUUUGAAUCUCAAAAAGGCUUUGGAAAGAUUCUUUAUUUCAUUUUAAACCCUAGGGUUUACACCCAUUUGAGCUUUGGAUCCUCAAACCAUUAAAGUUUAUAUAUAAAAGGGGUUUAUUGCACAUAUGAGCUAUUCCAUAAUUUUUGGAUAAUUGUUUGGAGUUGAAAAGUAUUUUAUUUAAAAUGAUAUAUGGCCCUAAAGGCAUUUAUAGGGCAAAUGUAUUUUUACAUAUUUUAUUUUGAAGAGAAACUACUUCCAAAAGUUGUAUCUUGGUAGAACAUGAUUUUACAAAUUUUCUGGAAUUUGUUUCUACCAAUUUGGAGUUCAAACACAAAAGAUAUCAAAGAAACGAGAAAAACAGAAAAAGAAAAGGCCUAAAAGAAAAAAAAAGGGUAAACCGGACCGCCCGGCCAAAAUGGGCCGAACCGGCCCAGUCCGACCGCGCCCGACCGACCCAGACCGCCCGGUCCGCGUGCGCGCGCCCGCAGUCGCUGACAGGUCGGGUCCACCUGUCAGCUGCGUCUUCCCCGAAGGAAAGCGCCGCCGGUCACGCGCGCGAUCCCCGCGCCGCCGCAAUCCUCGCGCCCGCCAUUCCUGACCUUCCCUAAGUGCGCAGCCCGCGUCCCUAUAAAGCCCCCGCCGCCGCGCUUCUUUCCCCUUUGUUUCCCCUCGCUAUCGUGCCGC